AGGAAGGAAAUCCGUGAUAUUUGCUUCAGCCUCAAAGAGCAUGUUUCUGUAAAAUUAAAUGAGCACUGGCAGUGAGCUGCCCCUUUUUUCCUAAACGGGAAAAGGGUUAAUAUUGCAAACUUUUCCUCAGCUUCUAUGCAACUGAGACAAAUACUGUGCUAACUCAUGAGGACCUCUGGAACCAUGAUAUGUUAACUUGUCUUUCUCUUAUCUAAGUCCUUUUCUGCCCACAGCUUCUCUGUACAUCAAAAUAGUGCCUACCAGAGGCCCCAUUCAACCUUUAGAUUUAGUUAUAAUUUUUCCCAUGGACAGAGGAUAAGAUGUAGAGAAGCAUCCCUCUGGGGCCUGAAAAUUGUCAGUCAAGAGAGGAUGCAUGGGGUUAGGUGGUGCUGCACCAACGCCAGGCACCAGAUCCAGACUAGCAGAGGCAUCCUGUGGGCCUUAAUGUUUUUUGUUUUUUUGUUUUUUUGUUUUUGUUUGUUUUUGAGACAGCCUUGCUCUGUCACCCAGGCUGGAGCGCAGUGGUGCAAUCUCAGCUCACUGCAACCUCUGCCUCCCAGGUUCAAAUGAUUCUCAUGCCUCAGCCUCUCUAGUAGCCGGGAUUACAGGCAUGUGCCACCGCGCCCGGCUAAUUUUCGUAUUUUUACUAGAGACGGGGUUUUGUCAUGUUGUCCAGGAUGGUCUCGAACUCCUGGCCUCAGGUGAACUGCCCACCUUGAGCUCCCAAAGUGCUGGGAUUACAGACAUGAGCCACCACACCCAGCCUUGUAGUCCUUAAUUAAUUUAGUUUUUUUGUAUGUAGAGUUCUCUAAAUUGCAGGGCCCAGUCAGGGGCUCCUCUUGUCAGCUCUAAGGACAGGACUGGGAAAAUAUACUUCUGGAAAUAAAUUGCUGUAGAAAACAGAGGAUUUUUUUUCCCCCCGAGAUGGAGUCUUGCUCUGUUGCCCAGAGCUGGAGUGCAAUGGCGCAAUCUUGGCUCACUGCAACCUCCCCCUUCCGGGUUCAAGCAAUUCUCCUGCCUCAGCCUCCCGAGUAGCUGGGAUUACAGGUGCCUGCCAUCACACCUGGCUAAUUUUUGUAUUUUUAGUAGAGACGGGGUUUCACCAUGUUGGCCAGGCUGGUCUCAAACUCCUGACCUUGUGAUCUGCCCACCUAGACCUCUCAAAGUGUUGUGAUUACAGGCGUGAGCCACAGCGCCCACCCUACAGAGAGGAAAUUUUAAGGAAAUGUCUGCUUUGAAUACUCAAUAAAAUAUAAGACAAAACCAAAAAUGAUACAGUGUGCUGAAAUUCUGACAGCAAUGAUAAAAGAAUUUUCAAGGAACUGAAAUCCAGUGACAAAAAUGAAAUCGAUCAAGGCUGUAGUUGCACACCUGAGACAUUCCUCGAGAAGGCAGAGGAGAAAGGUGUGAAAAACAGUGAACCAGAGAAGGAUGGCCAGGGACAACAAAGAUUGGAGCUCGGAAGUUGAAUGACAGAUAUUCUGGAGAAACACACCAGAGAUGACAAAAGGUGGAGGAGUGCUCUGUUUACCAGGCUGGAGAACAGUGGUGCAGUCUUGGCUCACUACAACCUCCAUCUCCCAGGUUCAAGUUAUUCUCCUGCCUCAGCCUCCUGAGUAGCUGGGAUUGCAGAAGUAGGACCCUUCUUUGAAUGAAACUUAGUAAGAUUCAUAUAAGUAACAGAACCUUCCAGGUCUGAGCUGAGGUGUCAUCUCUGAACACCAGGCUGCUGCACUAACCAGAAGACCCCUCCCCACCUGCAGUGGCCUCGCUGCAUCGUAAGGAUGGAGGAGCUGUUGUCUCCACAGCUGACAGGUGCUUAGUGGUUAGAAGUCUGGUUUUCGCGCGGCUUAGAUCUUUAACAUCUGAACUAGUCCUGUCAACAUAUUUUGUUAUAUUUCUGGUGGCUUUGUCUUUGAUGCUAUUAUAAAUGAUUAUCUUUUAAAAUAAUACUUUGAUGAUAUAUAGAAAUGAAAUUGAUUUAUUUGACUGUAUCCAGCAACCUUUUCAAAUUCUAAUAAAUUGUGUAGGGAAAAAAAAGUCUGGCUUCGGAGUCAGAACGGAAUUGAAUCCUGCCUCCACCACUUCCUACCUAUAUGACCUGGUGAAACUUAUCCCUCUCUGUGACUCAGUUUCCUCAUCUGUAAAAUGGGAAAAUUGAAAGCAACUAACAGGUUUGGGGCCGUUUUGCUUGCUGCUGCUGUGGCUUCAGUGCUGAGGCCUGGCACUCAGCGGGAUGUCAGCCCAGGACUGGAGCUUCUUUCUCAUGGUAUUAUUUUGAAUUUAGAUGAAAAGAGGUAUUCCAGGAGAGCUCCUGGCACAGGGCCUGGCAGGUGGCACAUCCUCAGUAAAUGUGAGCUGCUGUCAGCUGCUGUGUGAGUGCCUGGUGUGGCCCUGUUGUCCCCUUGAGGGUUGGGGGACAAAACAGGCCCUCAGGAAGCCUGCCUGUGUAUUCGGGGGCUGGGGAGAUCUCUGACCUCCUGUCUCCUAGCUCCACCAGCAUCUCUCACCUCCCCCAGCAAUGUACAACCCCUUCUUUUCCCAUAGCUUAGGCCCCUGAGGUACCAGCCCCCCAGCCUAGGGACAGCCCAGUGGCAAACUCCUGGUGACCUGGGUCAAGCUGCUGUUCUCCAAUCCCAACUCGGCUCUUCCCGUGACUUGGCCCCCAGGCCUUGGGUGAGGCUCCGAUGAAAUAACACACAGGAAUGUGCGCUGAACACUGCCAAGCACUGCAGGUGGGCAGGGGCUUUGUGCUCCCCAGCGACUGUUCCUAUCCUGCGGGAAUGGAGGAGACCGACAAAGAAGCCCCACUCCUGGGCUGACAUCCUGCCAGUGCCAGCCGGGCCUCAGCACCAGUGGGUCAGCCAGAACAGCAACGACGAACAAUGAGGCCCCAAACCCGUGGGCCCCCCACUUUCUAUCUUGAAUUUCUCUGUCUUUCCUAGGCCAGCAAUGUUUGAGAGGGAGAGCGAGCUGAAGAUUUCCUGAUUUCAGAUAGGCCUAGAGAAGGAUUGUAAUUUUCUAGUGUGAAAAGGAAGUGGCACAAAGAUGAGGGCAAUGAAGAAGAUGGUUCAAUGGAAGUACCAGGGUCCUGUAAAUAGGGAACGUGUUUUAUGAUCAAACCGUUCUUUGCAUUUUUGGUGAUUUUGAGGUUUAAUUUCCUCUAUGUAGUUAGUUAACUAUUUAACACUGAGAGCAGGGGUAGGGAUAAGGCAAACAACAAAAAAGCCAAAAUGAAACCAACUUCUGUGGGGUUUCCCCACCCCAGGGAGGUGGAGGCUGAGGUAGAACUGACUGAGAGAAUCACCCUCCCUGCACUGUGAUGAAGACACAUCCACACAUCAGGACUACACAGCUGGCAGGUGCUGGCUGUCCAGAGGAGCAAACAGCUUCUUCCUUGUGUUUCUGUGUCUCUUAGUAGAAAUCUGUGCCCUUGGGAGAAAACUGAAUUUGCACCCCUUGAGGCAAACACUUGACCAAAUGAAUUAGGCAGAUGGGUGGAUGGGUGGGUGAAUGGGCAGGAGGUGUGACAGGCAGGAGGCGUGACAGGGAAAGAACACUGUUCUGACAGGCACACACUGCCACAUCUGCCCUCCCAACAACCCCGAUACAGACACUGUUGUUAACCCUCCUUUUACAGAUGAGGAAACUGAAGUUAAUUUGCUCGUGGUAACACAGCUAGGCAAGUGGCUACGUUCAGCUGGAGAAAAGGAAAAUUCUGAAAGACUUUAGGAUACAUCUUAUUCAAAAGCAUUUGGUGAACAUAAAUAUGUACCCAAGGUAUAAUAUUAAGUGAACCAAGCUUGUUAUAAAGCAGUAUGAGUCCUGUCUGAUUCCAACUUUAUAAAAAAUAGAUGCAUAUGUCAAUAAAUGCACAGAAAAGGGUAUACCCUAAAAUGUUAAUAAUGGUGAUCUCUGGGUUAUGACACAAAAUAUUGAUUGGUCUUUGGGCUUUUCUUUAAUUUUAAAAUGUUAAUAGACAUGUAUUAUCUUAAUAAUGGGAGGAGCCACAGAAAAAGUGCUUUUCAAAAACAUGAAAUCAAUAAGCCCAUGCAGGACCUGCAGGGGGCUGCAGUCACCUGGGCCUCAUAGGCUUGGCAAAGGCUUUAGUUAUGCCCUGAUUGGAGGCCACUGGCAUGGAGAAGCUGUAGGUCAGCUAACUGGAACUAGGACAUCCAAUGUGAUUGGUUAUGUGUGCAUAUUUGUCUUUCUUCAUUGGGUCCUAAGUUGCAAGCAGGCGCAAAAAUUAAGGAAGCUGUGAGUCAAUGAAGUCCUGGCUGUUUUUCAGCUGGUUGCUAUAGGGUUGUUUUUUGACUUUCUAGACUGGUUGCUGUAGAGGUGGGUCAGAGUUUUACUUUCAUCUAUGGUCUGGCCAUUGUAUUUGUAUAUUCAGUCUCUUAGUCACCCCUUUUGGUCAUUCGCUUACUUUCAAGAGGUUGGCCAAUUCAAGGAAAGCUGGAAAUCUAGCUCUUUAUCACUCAGAGAUUAUUCAGUAAACUCCAUAUAAAACUGUAUUGCAAAAUAUUCCUGACCUUUUUGUUUUUGUAUCAUCAUGGUGAUUUUGACUAGAGAGCAGAUGUGCAGAAGCUUUUAAGAAUCUAGAUAGCACGCAGCAUCAUGUCCACUCUUACAAAGCCAGAAUAAUUAAUAGUUCCUAUAAGGUGAUUUGGAACCAGGAACCUCAAUUGCCAAAUCAAGGCCAAAAUAACAAAUUUGAUAGAUUAUGGGAUCAACCUUAGCCAAAUAGCUUAUACCAUGAAACAAUAUAUAAUAGUUCCAACUUGCUUGUUUCUUUGAUCCAAGGACAAGAAGUAUGAGCAACGGCACAGACACCAGGAUGACUAAAAGAAAAAAAAAAAAAAAACCUAGGGUAAUGUUAUUGUCUAUCACUGCCCAUGCCAAUGAGUUGAGAUUGUUCUGUAUUUGUAUCUAGGACAAAGGCAAUAUCAUCAAUAACUUCUGCCAGAGUGAGUAUCUUAGUCCAUUCAGGCUGCUGUACUAAAAUACCAUAAUUUGGGUGGCUUAUAAAGAAUAGAAAUGUAUUUCUUUCAGUUCUAGAAACUGAGAAAAUCAAGAUAAAGACGCCAGCAGACUCGAGGCCAGGUGUGAUAGCUCAUGCCUGUAAUCCCAGAACUUUGGGAGGCUGAGGUGGGUGGAUCACCUGAGGUCUGGAGUUCAAGACCAGCUUGACCAACAUGGAGAAACCCCGUCUCUACUAAAAAUACAAAAUUAGCCAGGUGUGGUGGUGGGCAACUGUAAUCCCAGCUACUCAGGAGGCGGAGACGGAAGAAUUCCUUGAACCGGGAGGCGGAGGUUGUAGUGAGCUGAGAUCGCGCCACUGCUCCCCAGCCUGGGCCGGAGCCAGACUGUGUCUCAAAAACAAACAACAAAAUAAAACAAGAAAAGAUUUAAUGGAAGACCUCAAUAAGCCAUUGUAGGCUGUAAAAUUCACCUAGUCCAAUCUUUCAGAGUCGUUUUGGACUUGAUAGUAGCUCAGUACCAAGAUCAUUACAGAAGUUAAUACCAAUAAUAGCCAUUGAAUAUAUUGUCUCUAUAAUGUGGAUCAAAUUCUCAUUUGACUGUACUGACAUUGGUGAUAGAAGGUGCAACCUGAUUUACGCUGGGGUAUAUCAGGUGAUUAAAGUUAAGGCAGGCUAGAGAAAAAGUGAAAGCACUCAAAUUGCUGAUUUGGAGUGAAUGAUAAAGCAAUUUAAUACACCGUCUCUAAAGCAUCCGUUUUCGCCUGUCCGAAGAGUUUUAAAGGAUAUUUGGCCAGAAAAUUUCUACCAUGUGUCAGAAUAUUAAUUUGCAUGUAUGCAUUCAUAGUUCAUGGGAUAUUAUUUUAGUGGUUUUAUUAUAACUGCAUAGAAUGGUUUGCUUCUUACUGAAGAUCUUUCUUUUUUUCUUUCGUUCUUUCUCUUUCUUACAGCCAUAGGUGCUUUAAGUCAUUAAACUUUGAGCACUGUAAAAAUAUCUAAAGAGUGCUUAUUUUUAUAACAUUAAUACUCCAUUUGCAACUUUAAUUAUAGUUACUUCAUUUUUAAAAUCUCAGAAGAUAAUGAAAUAUGUAGAAUUGCCAAAACAAUUGAGAAAGCUCACUGCAUUCGUUUGGUAGAGCUGUCGUAACAAAGUGCCAUGGACUGGAUGGCUUAAACAGAAACUUACUUUCUCACAGUUUUAGAUGCCAAAAGUCCAAGAUUAAAGGUAUUGGUAGGUUUGGUUUCUUCUGAGACCUAUUCAAUUGGUCCAUAGACUGCUAUCGUCUCCCCGUGUCUUUACAUCGUCAUUUCUCUGUAUGUGUCUGUGUGUAAAUGUUCUCCUCUUAGAAGCACGCCAGUCACAUUGGAUUAGGACGCACCCUACUGACCUUAUUUAACCUUAAUUGUGUACUUCUCUAAAGACCUUGUCUCCAAGUAUAGAUACUCCGUGAUAUUGAGGGUUAGGACUUCAACACAUGAAUUUGGCGGGGGUGGGUGGGCACAAUUUAGCUCAUAAAACUCACUAAGGUUUAAUUAGGGCAUGGACUGUAGAGCAUUCUACUGUUAAUUUAGUUUUUGUGUUUGGAAAGCAUUUUGAAACAUAAUGAUUUUUAUUUACAAUUUCAUUAUUUAUAUUUUCAUUAUGUUUAGGGUUGCUUGGAGGUAAAUGAAGAAAGAAGAGUUCCGCAUUAGUGAGGCAGGGAUGUCAGUAUAUAAGGAAUUGGAAAGACAUCAGUGAUAAUGGCAAAAGCUGCUUAUAAAUUAAAUUAAGAGCUUAAUUAAACUGAGGAAAAAAGCAUAUUGCCAAAUUACAUGCAGUUGUUUUGUAACAGCAUUUGUCCACUUGCUGUGCCCUGAGAUUUCCAAGGCACAUUCCUCUACUAAGCGUAUUAUAAGAUGAUUAAAUAUGCAUAGUACAAGUAUGUUAUGGAAGGCUGUGUUAACUGAUAUAGUGGGACCACAAUAGUAUGUGUAAGUGAGAUUUGGAAAAUUUGAUAUGCCAGCAAGGACAAAGAAGUGUUGAAUUUGCAAGUUUAUGCACAUAAUUCUGAGAAUCCAGGCAGCUAUUUCUCCUUUUGAAUUGUUCUCUUGGCUAGGGGAUAAGGGUGAGACACAAUACACAUUUGAAUGUGUCACUGUGUAAGUUACCACUGCAAUAUCUUCUGUAUGUUGAAAAACUGGUACUUAUAUGUACUAAUACUAUCUACCAUGAAAAAAACAAUUAAAAAUUUAAAAUAUCAUGUAAAUUAAAUAAAGUUCAAAUACCACUAGCCAGAAAAAAAUAUUUUAUAUUAUAGUCUGGGGUCAGAAGAGGAAAACCUUAUGUAAAGUAUCAAAAUUAAUUUUUAUUUCAAUUUAAAUGCACCAUCAUAUAACAUAGUUUCAUAACUGAAAUUACAUUUGUCAGAAUUUGAUCUUUUCAUUAUUAAAGAAUUGAGGGAAAAUUGAUGGUUAUAAUAUUGAUAUGCCAUGUAAAUAAACUUUUUUUGAUUGUUAUAGGAAUGAAUUGCUCAACUAAUUGGCCAAUGUCAACCACAUAUCUGUUUCCAUGGAAACUGCAGCAAUAUUACUUCAAAUAGUUUCAUUUGUGAAUGUGAUAAACAAUUUUCAGAUAAAAAAUGUAUACAUACAUAUACCAUUUGUCCUGGAUUUUUUUUUUUUUUUUUUUUUUUUUUUGUGAGACGGAGUCUAGCUCUAUCACCCAGGCUGGAGUGCAGCGGCGCGAUCCCGGCUCACUGCAAGCUCCACCUCCCGGGUUCCCGCCAUUCUCCUGCCUGAGCCUCCCGGGUCGCUGGGAUUACAAGUGCCCGCCGCUACACCCGGCUAAUUUUUUAUAUUUUUAGUAGAGAUGGGGUUUCACCUGUGUUAGCCAGGAUGAUCUCGAUCUCCUGACCUCGUGGUCCACCCGCCUCGGCCUCCCAAAGUUCUGGGAUUACAGACGUGAGCCACCGCGCCCGGCCUUGUCCUGGAUUUUUUAACCAAGCACUAUUAUUUAUAGUUGCGUUAAAAUAAAUAGGGAUGGGUUUGAUAAGUCACCACUUGGUGCUUUAAAUUCUGCCAUCAUCUUUUCUAGGAGUGUAAGAUAUAGAGAUACACAUAAGCAGAAAAUUUUUUUUAACAUGAGGAUAAUAUGAUAAUGUAACCAGUGAUAACCUACCUCUCUUUUUCAAUGCUUUCCAGAUGCAAAUUGUAUUGUAUCAAUCAUUCAAGGACAGCUUGUAGGACUUUGAAGACCCAAGCAGCCAAAAAAUAGCUAAUUCCUCCUUAUUUCAGUUGGUAUGAAGAGAAGGUUACUAAUAAUGCUGCUCUUCCAGCACAAGUCUUCUGGGCUGUCAGUGAGCUUGGUCAGUGGGAACCACAGGAAAUUAUGAGUUAUGUUUGUUAUAUAUGAGAGGAAAAUUGAGGCUACCAGUCUUGUCACAGGGUUUAUAGAUAAUUGCCUUGUGUGCCACCAUGCCUGGAUAAUUUUUGUAUUUUUAGUAGACAGGGGAUUUCACCAUGUUGGCCAGGCUGGUCUCAAGCUCCUGACCUCAGGUGAUCUGCCUGCCUUGGCCUCCCAAAGUGCUGGGAUUACAGGCGUGAGCCACCGCGCCCAGCACCCCAUUAAAUCUUAUCACAAAGCCUCUUCAAACUUGGCUCCAAUGGAGGGAAUUGAUACUUCAGCAAUAUUCUGUCUUCUACUCCAUGAGCAUAAACUGAUGCUAUCCUGAGCAAACUAGAAUGAUUACCCUAUGAAGGUUCAGUAACUAUAAUAGGGGUAUUUUUGGCAUUAGUUUGAGACCUACAGCCUGUGCCAAAAGUGAACAGGAAGCAUCACAUUUAAAAGAUGUAUAAAAUAUGUCUAUAUCUAUCCAUUUGAUAUGGCUUGACUGUGUCACCACCCAAAUCUUAUUUGGAAUUCCCACAUGUUGUAGGAGGGAACCGGUAGGAGGUAAUUGAAUCAUGGGGGCAAGUCUCCCGUGCUAUUUUCAUGAUAGUGAAUAAGUCUCACGAUAUCUGAUGGUUUUAAAAAAAGGAGUUCCCCUGCACAAGCUCUCUGUGUUUGCCUACUGCCAUCCAUGUAAGACGUGACUUGCUCCUCCUUGCCUUCUAAUACAUCAUCUAUCUGGUUAUUUCAUACAUAUUUUCUAGCAUUUUAUUAUUGGUUUCUUCAAAACUCUUCAGAAACUAAUAUAUGUAUAUUUUCCACCAUGAUCAACUGUGCAUAUUAAUAUAUAUUAUUUGGUAUAUGAAUGUGGAUUCAUAAUUGAGAUUAUGUUCCAAUGAGUCAUAGUAAAAGUACAGAAAAUUAAUAUUUCUAAUGCCUUAUCAACCGAUGAUUAUUAUAAAAUUAGCCUUUAUGUCAAGUUCUCAUUGCUCUUGAAUUUCAUUCCAAACAGAAUUUUGGAAUUCAUAUUAUUUGGAAUAGUAUAGCUGUCAUACCUAAAUUAGUUUAAUAACCCACAUCUAAUGCAAAUUUACAUUAAGAUUUUACAUAAAUAAUUAUGGUGUAGAGUAUGACAAUCCUAUUUCAAAACCACAGAGCCCUUAGAAAAACAAAUUCUUGAUUUUUCAGAUAUCUCAAAUACUGUAAAAUACAGUAUAACUAAGAAUAAUUAGCCAUGAGGUCAAACUUCAAUUUCAAACAUUAUAAAAGUAAAAUUAAGAGUUAAAAUCUAAAACCACAUGAAAAUUUAUUCUUCAUUAUAAUCUCAAAUUUGAAAACGUUAUAUAAGAUUUAUGCAUUCAUUAGAAAGUGAUUUAUUGUAAUUUUAUAAGAUUUGCCAAUUUUUAAAGGUGUAUUUUUGAUCAAUGCAAUUAAAUGUUAAAAUUAUUAUGCUAUACAUUAUUAGUUCAUGACACAUUUUCAAAUAUGAAUGUGAUGUAGAAACAGGUGAUUAUCAGAAAAUAAACUCUGUUUUUAGUUUAAGACUAAAUUAAAGCUACCAAAAAGAAAUUUAGUUUCAAGAUAGGAAAGUUUAUUUGUAAGGAUGCUGGGAUGUUUGAACCCAAGAUGAGUGAUGUUUAAAAGGUUUUGCAAUGGCAUUCAAUGAAUAAAAAAUGUUUAGAGUUCAGUAACUUCAGUUACCAUUUUGGACAGAUAACAAGAGAUCCAAUCUGACUAGCAGAGAAUAGUGUAAGACAUUUAGAAUAGUUAGCAGUUUAAAUCAGAGGGUAGACAGAUUAUUUUCCAAUGUAGAGUACAUAUUUCUCCAUUUGCAUAAUCCUCACCAGUGGGUAGAAUUUAUGAAGAAUAGAAUUUGGUUCAUGGAAAGAAAAGCAGGCAGGAACUAAAUCAGAUAUAACUUUCUUCAUAUUUAAUAACUGAAGUUUACUCCUAUUUUGAGACUCAAUUCUGAUAGAAGUUGGAAAAUUAAUCUGUCAGUUUAACCCUAUCUCUAACCCCCUGCCAUGUAGAGAAUUGAACUAGCCUUCGCUCUCAUAAGUGGAAUUUUAAAAAAUAAUGAGUUACAUGAGCUGAUAAGCACACAUGCAUAGUCAAUGUUAAGGCUUAGCAUUUAUAAAAUUUGGGAUGAUAAUUUAUGGCAAAUGUUUAACACAUUUAAUAAGAUAAAUAGUUUUUAAGGCAUUGAAUAGGUAGGAGUUCAUAUGAGUUUACUCUGGGUUGCUAUUACUUUUACAUAGUCAAACUUUAUUUUGUAGUAUUUUUCUUCUUGAUUCUCUAGUCACUAUGAUAAUUAUUAGUAUGGAUGGUGACUUUUAUUUCCAAGCACAGCAUAAUCCACAAUAACAUAACAUUUAAAAGCAAAGGCUCUGUAUCGAUUAUUAACAUGAACAAUUUCCUUUGCUACCAUACUCCAUCCAGAUAAAGAACUGAAUGUUCCUCUGAACCUUCCAAUUAAUUUCCUCCAUUGUGAUGAAUCCUCCAUAGAUUUAUUGGCAAAACAUUAUUUCUAAGUGUUCUCCACCCUACUAUAAAUUGUCUCAAAAUAGUUUGUGUCUACCAACAAGGUAGUAUAGACUAUAAACUUAAUAAAUAGUAAUUAUUGAUAAUUAUGAGAUACCAGGAUGCUAAUGAAACUUUAUUGCUUGUAUUGAGAAAUGAGAGUAUAAAUUGAGUAUAAAAUGAAAAGACUUGAAUGCUUAGUAAAGCAUAUAAUGUAGCUAAAGUUAUUAAACAGAUAUAUGUAUAUGCCAAUUUGAAUGUCUUUUUAUCGUUGUUCAAUGUAUAGAAUACUUAUUUUUUCCUUUUUUUAGUUGACACAGUAAUUAUACUUACAGGAUACAGAGUGAUAUUUUGAUAUAUCUAUACAAUAUGUAAGGAUCAAAUCAGAGUAAUUAACAUAUCCAUCACUUUAUCAUUUCUUUGUGUUGUGAACAUUCAGAAUCCUCUCUUCUAGCUUUUUGAAAAUAUAUAAUAAAUUACAGUUAACCAUAUUCACCUUGCAGUGUUGUAGAACACCAUAAAACAUUCCAUCUAGCUAUAAUUUUGUAUCCAUUAACCAAACUGUCCCCAUCCUCCUUUUCCCUACCCUUCCCAGCAUCUUAAUACUCACAAUCCUACUCCCUACUUUCAUGAGCUUAAAUUUUACUUAGGUCUCACAUUUGAGUGAGAACAUACAGUAUUUAUCUUUCUGUGCCUGAUCUUUUUCGCCUAAUAUAAUGUCCUACAGGUUUAUCCAUGUUGCCAGGAAGGACAGAAUUCCAUUGUUUUUAUGACCGAAUAGUAUUCCAUUGUGUAUAUAGACCACAUUUUCUUUAUCCAAGCAUCUCUUCAUGGACAUAUAGGUUGAUUCCAUAUCUUGACUAUUAGGAAUAAUGCUAUAUAAUAAGUAUGGGGGUGUGGCUAUCCCUUUGGUAUACUAAUUUCAUGUCCUUUGGUUAUUUUUAAAUACUAUUUAAUAUGCACCUUUCUUUUUAUCAGAAAAUACAUGAAGUAGUAAAUAAAAUAAUCUCAUCUCUAUUUUGGCUUUUGAGGAAGUGGCAAAAAUAUAGUUAUAAUUUGGAAUUAUUUGACUCCAAUUAUUUUGAUCUUAAACUAAUAAGUUGCUUUUCUGGUUUAUUCAUGAAAAUGUCAAUGAAAUAUUUAAUAAUGUGUAUCUGUGUAUUUAUAUAAGGCUCGUAAUAUCCUAUAGCCCUUGAAAGCCAAUAUGGCUCACUUACUUUGCCAUUUUUAAGUUGUCUUUUUAUUAAUGAUUUGUAGAAAAACUAUAUGUCCUGGAUAGAAGUCACUUGUCAGGUAUGCAUAUAGUACAAAUAAUUUUUUUCUGUCUCUGGCUUUUUAUUUUUUUGAUAUUUAUUUACUUAUUUAGAGACUUCGCUCUGUUGCCAGGCUGGAGAGCAGUGGCACCAUCUCGGCUCACUGCAAGCUCUGCCUCCCAUGUUGAAGCGAUUCUCCUGCCUCAGCCUCCCGAGUAGCUGAGACUACAGGCAUCUGCCACCAUGCCCAGCUAAUGUUUUUUGUUUUUGUUUUUGUAUUUUUUGUAUUUUUAGUAGAGACAGGGUUUCGCCAUGUUGGCCAGGAUGGUCUCAAUCUCCUGACUUCAUGAUCUGCCCACCUCGGCCUCCCAAAGUGCUGGAAUUACAGGCGUCAGCCACCGCGCCCGGCCACCUUUUUAUUUUUUCCACGUAUUUUGAUGAGCAAAAGUUUACAAUGUUAAUACAAUCAAUUUAUCAUUCUAAAACACAUUUUGUAGGUGUUGUGCCUUCUUUAGGAAACAUUUGCAUAUUCCAAAGUCAGAAGUAAUUUCUCCAAUGCGUUCUUCUAGAAGACAUACAGUUAUUUAGCCCUCUGUUUAGGCUUAUUAUCCACUCAGUUAAUUUUUGCAUUUCAUGGAAGGUUGGUUUAUUUUUUUAAUAUAUGGAAAUAUAGUUCGGCACCAUGUGGCAACUCUUUCUUUUACCCAUAGAUUUGCUUGGCAUCUUAUCAAAAGUAAAUUAAACAUAUAUGUGUGUAUGUCUAGUUCGGUAAUCUCUAUUCUAUGCUAUUGGUCUAUUUUUCUUUCCUUAGCCAAUACUAGUGUCUCCUGAUAGUGUAUAUUUAUAUUAAAACUUGAGGUUCUGUAAAACAAA
This is a long non-coding RNA of Homo sapiens (human), 12992 nucleotides long. RefSeq lists it as uncharacterized. The transcript has 4 exons. Lineage: Eukaryota; Metazoa; Chordata; Mammalia; Primates; Hominidae. The record is from RefSeq and is a predicted model, not a curated record.